GAUUCUGUAGCUCAGCAGGUAGAGCAUCUGCCUUUUAAGCAGGGGGUCCUGGGUUCGAAUCCCAGCAGGAUCA
This 73-nucleotide transfer RNA is filed under the name Pseudomonadota bacterium. Its description in RNAcentral is "tRNA-Lys". It matches the Rfam family "tRNA". From Rfam's summary of the family: Transfer RNA (tRNA) molecules are approximately 80 nucleotides in length. The record is from RNAcentral. Lineage: Bacteria; Pseudomonadati; Pseudomonadota. RNAcentral also lists the same sequence under 2 other names.